GCGGCCCGGCCCUUCCUCCCUCGCACGCCUCCUCCUCCUCUUUUCCCCCCUUCUCCUCUUCCUCCCGGAGCCGGGCGCACCGAGCCUGCCCUGCGGCCGCGCUACUGCUCUGACCCUGGCACCACGAAUGCGCUGCGUCUCGGCUUGCCUUAGUUGGGGCGCACCCAGAGAGCUGGGAGAAUCGCCGCGUCCCGAGCGCCCGCCAGCACAGUGGCCACCGCGGCUAGCCUAGGAGCACCCGGGGCCAGAAGGCUACACCAGUGCCAGGCAGUUUUGAGUUCGGAGACCCCAGAAUCUCCUGGCCAGGGCGAUUGCUGUAAUCUCCGCUGGGCACCCGCUGAAGCGAACCCCAGGAAAGGGAAGCAAAUGCAUGGAAGCUCCGCAAACUGGACAAGAAUCCAUCUUCCACUCGAGCUGGGAAUAGACUUUGUAAAAGAUUAUGUAAUGGAGUCUCGGGAAGCUCGAGACGUCUCCAGCGAAGCUGCUGGUGAAUUAAUUAAGUGCUUUAAAUGGUCUAGGUAAAUAUUCCGCCAGGGUUGGGAGGACUGCUGGGGAUGACAGUGGUUUGAGUUGAAUUUUGACUGUCCACUUCAUGUUUUGUCGCUCUGCUGUCUGUGCCAAGGUGCUGUAUUAUGGGCGGGGGUGACUGGAAAGUAACAGCUGAACCCUUGUCCCUGGAGUAAGACGGAAUACUGGAUUAUUACAAGUCUUGACCUGGGGCGAGACCCGUAGUCGCAUGCAUCAUCAAUGUCAUCUGACAUCUGACAUUGCCUUUUUUGUUUCCCAAGCUUACAGACAAAAGUGAUGGGUUCUUUUUCUUUUCUUAAAAAAAAAAAAUGUACUGUGUGUGUAUUAAUAAAGAAGAUGUGUGGUAGAAUGGUCUUUGUGAUGAACCAGGUGAAGAAGCUACCGAAAUUAUGCAAAAGGCCUGGUGUGGAGAUUGUUUCUCUUCUGCGGCUGGCGGAAAAGGUUCUUGCAGUGAUGUAUCUAUAAUUGAUGAGAUGAGAACCAAUGAUCGUCCUGGAAGUUACCCACCAUUCACAGGAGUAUGUGUACUAGGGUAAAUAAAAUUAAUGAACUGAUAGAAAGUAACUUGGAUCAGUAUGGGGAUGGGGGGGUCUGAUCUUGUGGCAAGUAUGAAGUGGGCGUGGAUGGUGACCCUCUAAUUCAAGAUGGUCUGGCAGCAGAAACCUAGCGGACAAGUGGUUUCUGAAAAUCCUGACUAAUGAUCCAAAGUUAAUAGAAGCAGUGUAAAGAGAAAGGAAACAAAGAUACCUUUGAAAUCUUCUGUUUGUGGAACAAAUUUAUACUUAUGAUUAAUACUUUGGUUUAACCACAUUAAUCCUCAACCAAAAAAACAAAGUUACCAGUGGAAUAUUCCCCCAUUUCUGCCAUCAGAAAACUAUAAGCAUGUCUUCAAUCACAUUCCUUUAUUCUGAAGAGAGGAAAGGACUCACUAAUCUCUACUCUAUAGUCUCUUAUCACUGAUUAUUAGGGA
Molecule: long non-coding RNA, 1498 nt
Filed under: Marmota monax (woodchuck)
Lineage: Eukaryota; Metazoa; Chordata; Mammalia; Rodentia; Sciuridae
Source: RNAcentral